UCAAAAACAUGUCCUUUUGUUAAUAAUUUAAGGUCUGACCUGCCCAAUGAGUAUUUAAAUGGCCGCAGUAUAUUGACUGUGCAAAGGUAGCAUAAUCAUUAGUUUUUUAAUUGCCAGCUGGAAUGAAUGGUUUGAUGAGAAAAUAACUGUCUCAAUUUAAUUGUUUUAGAACUUUAAUUUUAAGUGAAAAAGCUUAAAUUUUUAAUGAAGACGAGAAGACCCUAUAGAGUUUAAUAUUUCUAUAUUAUAAUUGGUUUUGGGUUUUAUUAAAAUUUUAAUAUAUAAUUAUUUUAUUGGGGUGAUAUUAAAAUUUAAUUAACUUUUAAUUUAUUGUAACAUUUUUUUGUGAUUAUUUGAUCCUAAUUUUUAGAUUAUAAGAUAAAAUUACCUUAGGGAUAACAGCGUAAUUUUUUUUAAGAGUUCUUAUCGAAAAAAAAGUUUGCGACCUCGAUGU
This 454-nucleotide ribosomal RNA is filed under the name Callyntra rugosa. RNAcentral describes it as "partial large subunit ribosomal RNA". It matches the Rfam family "Bacterial large subunit ribosomal RNA", at positions 1807 to 2532 of the family's 2925-position model. Lineage: Eukaryota; Metazoa; Arthropoda; Insecta; Coleoptera; Tenebrionidae. The record is from RNAcentral.